UACGGAGGGUGCAAGCGUUGUCCGGAUUCAUUGGGCGUAAAGGGCGCGUAGGCGGCGGGGUAAGUCUGGUGUGAAAUCUCGGAGCUCAACUCCGAAACUGCACUGGAUACUGCUCUGCUAGAGGGCUGGAGAGGAGAUCGGAAUUCACGGUGUAGCAGUGAAAUGCGUAGAUAUCGUGAGGAAGACCAGUGGCGAAGGCGGAUCUCUGGACAGCUCCUGACGCUGAGGCGCGAAGGCUAGGGGAGCAAACGGG
This 253-nucleotide ribosomal RNA is filed under the name uncultured bacterium. RNAcentral describes it as "partial 16S ribosomal RNA". It matches the Rfam family "Bacterial small subunit ribosomal RNA", at positions 524 to 776 of the family's 1533-position model. The record is from RNAcentral.